CCCCUACUUCGCAGUUGCAAAGGGACUCGCGUUUUCCCCAAGGGGCAGGCAGUGCAUUCAGGGCCCUGGGAGGCCUGGCCCACUGCGGAGGGGAACUCGCUCGCGCGCACGCGGCCCGACGUCCCUAGGAGAUCUCCGUGUGAUCACCGUGCGUGGCAGCUCCUGGGCGGAAACACCUCCCACCUCCACGUGAAAGUGGGCUCACCCGCAGGCGGAAAGCGACAAGGCUGGGGGACUACUCGUGCUGUAGCAGAGGCUGGGGGAACAUUCUUAGCAGGAAGAGAGCUCACUUCACUGUCUUCUUGGAGAGACAACAAAUACAUCCAUGUAACAGUGAUGUCUUCAGUUGCCAAAGGGAGCAUUUCAAUUGACCAGCAGCUAAUACCUGAUGAUGUCCCGUGGCCAACCAACAGAAGUUCUUCUAGGAUACAUCUUUCCUUGUUGGCUUACGAGCAAGAAACUGAUGCCCUCAGCCCAACAACCUUCUCGGAGCUGAAUUCUGCCAAUGAGUACAUGAGCUUGGAAGAAGAUCCCUCCCCAGUGAAGCCACCACAGGUGAGACUCCAGCCCUGGCCUAUACCUUGAUCACAGACUUGGAGAGGACCCACUUGAGCCAUACUCAGACUCCCGUAAGAAAAUGGUAAGAUAAUCUACAACCAUACCACCCUGAACGUGCCUGAUCUUGUCUGAAAAUUGCAAGAUAGGCUGGGUGUGGUGGCUCAUGCCUGUAAUCCCAGCACUUUGGGAGGCUGAGGUGGGCGGAUCACCUGAGGUCAGGAGUUCAAGACCAGCCUGGCCAACAUGAUGAAACCUUGGUUUCUACAAAAAUUAGCUGAGUGUGGCCAGGCACGGUGGCUCACGCCCAUAAUCCCGGCACUUUGGGAGGCCAAGGUGGGUGGAUCACGAGGUCAAGAGAUCGAGACCAUCCUGGUCAGCAAGGUGAAACCCCGUCUCUACUAAAAAAACAAAAAUUAGCUGGGCAUGGUGGCGUGCCCCUGUAGUCCCAGCUACUCGGGAGGCAGGAGAAUUGCUUGAACCCAGGAGGCAGAGGUUGCUGCGAGCCAAGAUUGUGCCAUUGCACUCCAGCCUGGGUAACGAGCGAAACUCCGUCUCAAAAAAAAAAAAAAAUUAGCUGGGCGUGAUGGCAGGUGCCUAUAAUCCCAGCUACUUGGGAGCCUGAGGUGGGAGAACUACUUGAACCCAGGAAGCAGAGGUUGCAGUGAACCAAGAUGGCACCAUUGCAUUCCAGCCUGGGUGACAGACAGACUCCAUCUCAAAAAAAAAAAAAAAAAAAGGAAAAGGAAAAAAAAGAAAAUUGUGAGAUAAUAAAUAUAUGUUUUUGUUUGUUUCAUUUUUGUAGAGACGGGGUCUUGCUAUGUUGCCCAGUCUGGCUUUGAAUUCCUGAGCUCAAGGGUUCCUCCUGCUUCAGCCUCCUAAGUCUCUGAGACUACAGGCCUGUGCCACACUGCACCAAGCUAAAUGUGUAAUUUAACCCUCUACGUUUGUGGUGACAUUCUUAUGCAGCAACAAAGAACCAAUAUAGAACCUAUUAGGUACAAAGUCCUCUGUAGGGCUGUUAGGGAAUACCAAAAAGUGUAAGGAACCCAGAACUUCAGGAGCUUCCCAGCAGUCAAGGUGAAAAAGGAACGACAGUGUAGUUAAACUAUUUGAAAAAAGAAAAUUAAUGUUUCCAAAGAUUGAACCCAGCCAGGCACAGUGGCUCAUGCCUGUAAUCCCAACACCUUGGGAGGCCCAUGUAGGAAGACUGCUUGAGGCCAGGAGUUUGACACCAGCUUGGGCAACAUAGUGAGACCCCUAUCUCUACAAAAAUAAAAAAUAAAGAGGGAAACCGGCUCCUGAUUCUAAGAGGAAUUUAUCGUGUGGUCAAUAUCUAUGUACAAUCUGUGAACAGAGAGCACUGACUCUGUACGGGAUGGACCGCCUGCAAUUCCAGUCCUCCUCAUCCUGCCUCCUUUGGGUCUGACCUCCUACCACCUCACACCCUUCUGCUCGACGCCCUCCUCCUGGACUGCUCAUCUUCGUUCUUGGCCCAUCACCU
RNAcentral lists this long non-coding RNA (2059 nucleotides) under Aotus nancymaae (Ma's night monkey). Its description in RNAcentral is "lncRNA (ENSANAG00000039134.1)". Lineage: Eukaryota; Metazoa; Chordata; Mammalia; Primates; Aotidae. The record is from RNAcentral.